AAAGUAUAAAAUUUAAUUUACAGUGACACGUGGGCCCACGAACGACCAAAAGUAUCAAAAGCGGUAAACCUACAAUUUUUGAGGAUGUAAGUCCAACUGUAGCCCUCAACAAAGUGAGCUAUCUACCGACUAUCCUGAGCCUAAAAUGGGUGGAAAUGAGGGUGGUGAGAUUAUAUAAUCCCAGUGAGUAAACAAAUACCAUCUAAAAUAUCUAAAGUUGAGUAAAUGGAGACAGAUUAAAAUAGAUUAUCAUACUGUAAUUCAUCACCUUUCAACUCAUUUCAACCAAAUAAAAUCAAUUCAUAUAAAUUGAGUAAUCAACAUGGCUUAUGAAUUUCUUAAAACUUUGGCUCGUCCCAAAAUCAUUCUCAUACUCAGUUAUCAAGGAUACCUUGGCCGAGCUAUCCCAACUGAGUCUGCCAAGACUGAUAAAAAGUUAUGUACGCAUAAAUCAUGUUUUUAUUUUGAAAACAUAGCCGCUCUUUGACAUUGGCUAAGUUCACCCUCACGUGGUGGUUUGGCGUGAAGUGAACUCUAAAGUGUUAACCUUAGGAGUUAUCCAUCCGCACCUUUCAUACUGAGGUAUGAAUAUAAUAGGGUUACCGUGCCCUCUCUAAUAGGCUAGUCCACGGAACCCGUCCACUGCAGCGACUAAUCAAUAACCCACCAAUUCAAUAAAAUUUAACAGCAUGACAUGGCAAUUUUAUCAUUAUGCAGCUUAUCAAGGCAAACAAUAGUUUAUACAUUUUCAACACAAAUACCAAUUCAACCAUUCAUGCCAAUAUUAUCAUAAGCCAUUCAAUUCAAACCAUGAUUUAUAACACAGCAAUUAGUCUCCAAUUACUCCAUUUUCAAAACCAUCAUUCAAUUUCAAGACAAUUUAUAAAAUCGUUUCAUUUAAAUACAUUUUGUUUAUCAAACAUAAAGAUUUACCAUUUGAACUCAUUUUUCAUAAAAUCACAAAAUUGGAUAAAAACCACAUUAGAUAAUUAAGACGAUAGUAAGGUUACUCACUAUUUCGGGAGUCGAAUUCUGAGUAUUCUGAUUCUUGAUCCUUGGGUACUAUCUCUUUACUUUUGCUAGAAUGCUCACCACCUAGACAUAAUGCACAAUAAACCAUUUACUACAUUUGUGCUAAAUUGUUAUAAAACAAAUUUAGGCUCUAUACUAAUGCAUGAAUGGGAUGUAAAUUGUUCGGAUUAUCGUCUAAACACGGUGUUCUACACCAAUUCAAUUGUGUACCUAAAUAAAACGGUAUUGGCCUAAUUCGAUCUAUCACUCGAUUAAUUGGCCAAUAUGUCCAAUUUAACUCCAAAUAAUUCCAUUUUUCUUCCAAUUCUCCAAAUCAUCAAACACUAAUUAAAUAACUUGAAAUAUGGCAAAUCAUCCUCACAUUUUUUCUUGGAAAAUUCGACCAUGGUGGGUGCAUCAACAUUAUAAUUUUUCCUACUUGAUUCACACACCAUAAAUCACUAAUUCCUAACCAAAUCACUUGAAAUAAAAUCAAAAUCAUCCUCAAUAUUCCACAUAGAGAAUUCGGCCAAUGAUGGGUGAUGGAAGAACAUGAAUUUUUCUUGCUUGAUUUUCAUGCUAUACAUCACCAAUCAACUAAAAACACUAAAAUACAUUGAAAUCUAACAAAAUCAAGCAUCAAAACCACUCUCUAAGUGUUCAGCGAGCAAGAUACGCAUCAUGAAAUCAUGUGAUUCAACCAUGGAAAAUGCAAAAGAUGGGAAAGGUAGAUCACAAGUCAAAAUCAAGAAAUUUUACCUUUGAUUACUUGAUUACUUGGAAUCCACCAAUUUUCUCUUGAAUUUUCACCCUAGGGUUCUUGUUCUUUCU
This 1842-nucleotide long non-coding RNA is filed under the name Theobroma cacao (cacao). RNAcentral describes it as "long non-coding RNA (TCAC_LNC003247)". The record is from RNAcentral. Lineage: Eukaryota; Viridiplantae; Streptophyta; Magnoliopsida; Malvales; Malvaceae.